CCACACCCUAAAAACUUUUCCACGUGAACCGUUAUAACUAUGUUCUGUGCUUCGUCGCAAGACUUGAGGCUGAACGAAGGUGAGUCUGCGUCUAUUUUGGAUGCGGAUUUGCUGAUGUUAUUUUAAACACCUAUUACUUAAUACUGAACUAUACUCCGAAUACGAAAGUUUUUGGUUUUAACAAUUAACAACUUUCAGCAGUGGAUGUCUAGGCUCGCACAUCGAUGAAGAACGCUGCGAACUGCGAUACGUAAUGCGAAUUGCAGAAUUCAGUGAGUCAUCGAAAUUUUGAACGCAUAUUGCACUUUCGGGUUAUGCCUGGAAGUAUGCCUGUAUCAGUGUCCGUACAUCAAACUUGCCUUUCUUUUUUUGUGUAGUCAAAAUUAGAGAUGGCAGAAUGUGAGGUGUCUCGCGCUGUCUUUUUAAAGAUGGUUCGAGUCCCUUUAAAUGUACGUUGAUUCUUUCUUGUGUCUGCGAAUUGCGAUGCUAUGCUCUUUGUGAUCGGUUUAGAUUGCUUUGCGCUGGUGGGCGACUUCGGUUAGGACAUAUGGAAGCAACCUCAAUUGGCGGUAUGUUCGGCUUUGCCUGACGUUAAGCUAAGCGAGUGUAGUUUUCUGUCUUUUCCUUGAGGUGUACCUGUCGUGUGUGAGGUUGAUUUAGGCUAUAUGGUUGCUUGGUUGUGUGGUUUAGCGUUUUCAGACGCCUGCUUCGGUAGGUAAAGGAGACAACACCAAUUUGGGACUGAGAGUUUACUCUCUUUUUCACUUUGGACCUGAUAUCAGGUAAGACUACCCGCUGACUUAAG
RNAcentral lists this ribosomal RNA (805 nucleotides) under Pythium oligandrum. RNAcentral describes it as "eukaryotic LSU rRNA". The stretch from base 190 to 344 matches the Rfam family "5.8S ribosomal RNA". Lineage: Eukaryota; Oomycota; Peronosporomycetes; Pythiales; Pythiaceae. The record is from RNAcentral.